GUUGUAUAGUCAAGUAAUUAAGUGCAUGUGGUGGAUGCCUUGGCAGUCAGAGGCGAUGAAAGACGUGAUAGCCUGCGAAAAGCUCCGGGGAGGCGGCAAAUAUCCUUUGAUCCGGAGAUGUCUGAAUGGGGGAACCCACCUACUUUAAGGUAGGUAUUGCAACAUGAAUACAUAGUGUUGCAAGGCGAACGAGGGGAAGUGAAACAUCUCAGUACCCUUAGGAAAAGAAAUCAAUUGAGAUUCCCUCAGUAGCGGCGAGCGAACGGGGAUCAGCCCAUUAAGUUAUGUGUGUUUUAGUGGAACGCUCUGGGAAGUGCGAACGUAGAGGGUGAUAUUCCCGUACACGAAAGGGCACACAUAAUGAUGACGAGUAGGGCGAGGCACGUGAAACCUUGUCUGAAUAUGGGGGGACCAUCCUCCAAGGCUAAAUACUCCUGACUGACCGAUAGUGAACCAGUACCGUGAGGGAAAGGCGAAAAGAACCCCUGUGAGGGGAGUGAAAUAGAUCCUGAAACCGCAUGCAUACAAGCAGUGGGAGCACCUUCGUGGUGUGACUGCGUACCUUUUGUAUAAUGGGUCAGCGACUUAUAUUCAGUAGCGAGGUUAACCGUAUAGGGGAGCCGUAGAGAAAUCGAGUCUUAAUAGGGCGUUUAGUUGCUGGGUAUAGACCCGAAACCAGGCGAUCUAUCCAUGAGCAGGUUGAAGGUUGGGUAACACUAACUGGAGGACCGAACCCACUGUCGUUGAAAAGCCAGGGGAUGACUUGUGGAUAGGGGUGAAAGGCUAAUCAAGCCUGGUGAUAGCUGGUUCUCCCCGAAAGCUAUUUAGGUAGCGCCUCGGACGAAUACCAUAGGGGGUAGAGCACUGUUUCGGCUAGGGGGUCAUCCCGACUUACCAAACCGAUGCAAACUCCGAAUACCUAUGAGUACUAUCCGGGAGACAGACUGCGGGUGCUAACGUCCGUAGUCAAGAGGAAAACAAUCCAGACCGCCAGCUAAGGCCCCAAAAUCAUAGUUAAGUGGGAAACGAUGUGGGAAGGCAUAGACAGCUAGGAGGUUGGCUUAGAAGCAGCCACCCUUUAAAGAAAGCGUAAUAGCUCACUAGUCGAGUCGGCCUGCGCGGAAGAUGUAACGGGGCUAAAACUAUGUGCCGAAGCUGCGGAUNNNNNNNNNNNNNNNNNNNNNNNNNNNNNNNNNNNNNNNNNNNNNNNNNNNNNNNAUGCUGGAGGUAUCAGAAGUGCGAAUGCUGACGUGAGUAACGACAAAACGGGUGAAAAACCCGUUCGCCGAAAGACCAAGGGUUCCAGUCCAACGUUAAUCGGGGCUGGGUGAGUCGACCCCUAAGGCGAGGCCGAAAGGCGUAGUCGAUGGGAAAAUGGUUAAUAUUCCAUUACUUCUGUGUAAUGCGAUGAGAGGACGGAGAAGGCUAAAUCAGCCUGGCGUUGGUUGUCCAGGUGAAAGGAUGUAGGCAUGUAUCUUAGGCAAAUCCGGGGUACUCUAUGCUGAGAUCUGAUAGCAAGCUGUACUUGUACAGCGAAGUGGUUGAUGCCAUGCUUCCAGGAAAAGUCUCUAAGCUUCAGUUACACAGGAAUCGUACCCGAAACCGACACAGGUGGUCAGGUCGAGUAGACCAAGGCGCUUGAGAGAACUCUGCUGAAGGAACUAGGCAAAAUGGUACCGUAACUUCGGGAGAAGGUACGCUGUUGUUGGUGAUGGAACUCGCUUCCUGAGCUGACGACAGCCGCAGAAACCAGGCCGCUGCAACUGUUUAUUAAAAACAUAGCACUCUGCAAACACGAAAGUGGACGUAUAGGGUGUGAUGCCUGCCCGGUGCUGGAAGGUUAAUUGAUGGGGUUAGCGUAAGCGAAGCUCUUGAUCGAAGCCCCAGUAAACGGCGGCCGUAACUAUAACGGUCCUAAGGUAGCGAAAUUCCUUGUCGGGUAAGUUCCGACCUGCACGAAUGGCAUAAUGAUGGCGGCGCUGUCUCCAGCAGAGGCUCAGUGAAAUCGAAAUCGCUGUGAAGAUGCAGUGUACCCGCGGCUAGACGGAAAGACCCCGUGAACCUUUACUGCAGCUUGACACUGAACUUUGACCUUACUUGUGUAGGAUAGGUGGGAGGCUUUGAAGCUGGAACGCUAGUUCCAGUGGAGCCGUCCUUGAAAUACCACCCUGGUAAUGUUGAGGUUCUAACUCUGUCCCGUGAUCCGGGACGAGGACCGUGUCUGGUGGGUAGUUUGACUGGGGCGGUCUCCUCCUAAAGAGUAACGGAGGAGUACGAAGGUGCGCUCAGCGUGGUCGGAAAUCACGCGUAGAGUAUAAAGGCAAAAGCGCGCUUAACUGCGAGACCCACAAGUCGAGCAGGUACGAAAGUAGGUCUUAGUGAUCCGGUGGUUCUGUAUGGAAGGGCCAUCGCUCAACGGAUAAAAGGUACUCUGGGGAUAACAGGCUGAUACCGCCCAAGAGUUCAUAUCGACGGCGGUGUUUGGCACCUCGAUGUCGGCUCAUCUCAUCCUGGGGCUGAAGCAGGUCCCAAGGGUAUGGCUGUUCGCCAUUUAAAGAGGUACGCGAGCUGGGUUUAGAACGUCGUGAGACAGUUCGGUCCCUAUCUACCGUGGGCGCUGGAAAUUUGAGAGGAUCUGCUCCUAGUACGAGAGGACCAGAGUGGACGAACCUCUGGUGUACCGGUUGUGACGCCAGUCGCAUCGCCGGGUAGCUAUGUUCGGAAGGGAUAACCGCUGAAAGCAUCUAAGCGGGAAGCCUACCUCAAGAUAAGAUUUCCCUAGGACUUUAUGUCCUCUAAAGAGCCGUUCGAGACUAGGACGUUGAUAGGUUGGAUGUGGAAGCAUAGUGAUAUGUGAAGCUGACCAAUACUAAUUGCUCGUGAGGCUUGACUAUACAACACCCAAGCAGUUG
This 2912-nucleotide ribosomal RNA is filed under the name Acinetobacter baumannii. RNAcentral's name for it is "23S ribosomal RNA". It matches the Rfam family "Bacterial large subunit ribosomal RNA". The record is from RNAcentral. Lineage: Bacteria; Pseudomonadati; Pseudomonadota; Gammaproteobacteria; Moraxellales; Moraxellaceae.